Molecule: ribosomal RNA, 1065 nt
Filed under: uncultured Aquicella sp.
Lineage: Bacteria; Pseudomonadati; Pseudomonadota; Gammaproteobacteria; Legionellales; Coxiellaceae
Description: bacterial SSU rRNA
Rfam family: Bacterial small subunit ribosomal RNA
Source: RNAcentral
UUCCUACGGGAGGCAGCAGUGGGGAAUAUUGGACAAUGGGGGCAACCCUGAUCUAGCGAUGCCGCGUGAGUGAAGAAGGCCUUCGGGUCGUAAAGCUCUUUAGGUUGGGAAGAAGGGCAUGAGGGGAUAAUCCUCAUGUUUUGACGGUACCGACAGAAUAAGCACCGGCAAACUCUGUGCCAGCAGCCGCGGUAAUACAGAGGGUGCAAGCGUUAAUCGGAGUUACUGGGCGUAAAGGGCGCGUAGGCGGUGAUAUGAGUGUGAUGUGAAAGCCCCGGGCUUAACCUGGGAAGUGCAUCGCAAACGAUAUGACUGGAGUAGAUGAGAGGGUGGCGGAAUUUCCGGUGUAGCGGUGAAAUGCGUAGAGAUCGGAAGGAACGUCGAUGGCGAAGGCAGCCACCUGGCAUCAUACUGACGCUGAGGCGCGAAAGCGUGGGGAGCGAACAGGAUUAGAUACCCUGGUAGUCCACGCUGUAAACGAUGAGUACUAAAGGUUGGUAGGGGAACCUAUCAGUCUUGAAGCUAACGCGAUAAGUAUUCCGCCUGGGAAGUACGGCCGCAAGGUUGAAACUCAAAUGAAUUGACGGGGGCCCGCACAAGCGGUGGAGCAUGUGGUUUAAUUCGAUGCAACGCGAAGAACCUUACCUACCCUUGACAUCCUGCGAAUCUGGCUGAGAGGCUGGAGUGCCGAAAGGAGCGCAGAGACAGGUGCUGCAUGGCUGUCGUCAGCUCGUGUUGUGAGAUGUUGGGUUAAGUCCCGUAACGAGCGCAACCCUUGUCCUUAGUUGCCAGCAUUUAGUUGGGGACUCUAAGGAGACUGCCGGUGAGGAACCGGAGGAAGGCGGGGACGACGUCAAGUCAUCAUGGCCUUUAUGGGUAGGGCUACACACGUGCUACAAUGGGGCGUACAGAGGGUAGCCAACCCGCGAGGGGGAGCCAAUCUCUUAAAGCGUCUCGUAGUCCGGAUUGGAGUCUGCAACUCGACUCCAUGAAGUUGGAAUCGCUAGUAAUCGCGAAUCAGCAACGUCGCGGUGAAUACGUUCCCGGGCCUUGUACACACCGCCA